GCGCCGGGGCCCCCCCUCCACGCCUGGCCGAUCCUCUUCCUAUCACCCUCCAGCCUUGGCCUCCAUCUGGGGGUUCUGGGCACCGCGAUCGGGCCGACAUACACCCGCACCUAGUGGUGGGGCUCUGGGGGCUCCGGCGAGAGGGGGUCGUGGGGAUUGGUUCUGGAUCUUGCCGGAGGUCAUGGGGGGAGGGGUGGGGUUGCCUCAGUUGAUGGCCCCAGGGACCCUCGCCCUUCCCGGCUGCCCCUGCCCGGCCUCUCUCUGGAGGGAGGGACUGGCCCUGUGUCCGGCCUGGGUUGCCCCAGAGGAACGAGAGACCCAGCAUAAGCUGUGGCCCCGCCUCCCUUUUCUGUGCCAGCAGGACUUGGAGCUAAGGACAUCUAGGUCCUGGGUUCCCUCUGAUGGAGAGGGGGUGUUCCACCUUGAAUAGACAGAAUGAGCUGAGGUUCUAGGAUAUCAGUUUCACUUUCUGAAUCUCGAGGUGCAUCUGGCCUUGAGGGGACUAUGAUGGAGGCACAGAGAGCCGCUCCCCUUUGGAUCAGUCAGGAAUUGAGGUCACACUAAUGGCCCCUCUUUCUAUUUGAGCUACAUUUGGAGGUGUUGUAGGGACAGCUCUGUAGCUGAACAUGGUAAGACUCAGGGGAAACAUAAGUCUCCUCCAGCUGAGCCCCUGCUGAGCCCCACCCCUCCCAAAAUGCAGACUGGGUUCCUGACAGGCUUACUGCUCCAGUGUGGGGGUUUAAAAGGUGACAGUAAGAACUUUGUUAUUUAGGGCCUGUUGCCACUUUGUUCGCAUUCCAAACAGACUUCAGCAGAAGGGACUGGGUUAGCUCUCCAAGAAGGCUCCCUAGCAAUAGGGGCUGAAUGAUUUGGGAACAUGGGGCAGGGUGAGGAGUUGGGUAGCAUAGGGAGUAUUCCUACCCAUGUGAUCUGAGGGAGGUGGCAAGAAAGACCUCCAUCUGUGUGGGCUUUUCCCUUCCUGACUUCUCUUACCUGUGCCCUAGGCUUUCUUGGGAGCCUCAGAGCUGGGGAAGAGAAGAGGAAAGUUAGCGUGUUCAAGUUCCAUCCUCUCCUUUGGGAGAGGCUGGGGAUGCAGUUCUGCAGAAGAGAAGGAGAGGAAAUGGAAGAGGAGUUUUUGUUUUGUUUCUGGGCUUCUGGUGGAGUGGGGGUGAGGGGGGUAUGGUAACAUUUGUCAUCAUAACCCUUUGCUCUCUACUCUCCCCCUUCCCCCUAGUCCUGGUCAGCUGAGUGUGGAAACAGAGGGAUUUCUGCUGCUCUCAUUGUCCAUGGGCUUUCCAGCAGGUCACACCACCUACAAGUAGGGAGCAGGGACAGUGAGAGCGAGCCUGCAUGCCAAUUCUAAGCUCUUCAGGAUCAAAUGUCGUUCGUCCUGUCCAGAAUGGCAGCCUGUGGAGGCACCUGCAAGAACAAAGUGACUGUCUCCAAGCCUGUGUGGGACUUCCUGAGCAAGGAGACCCCAGCCCGGCUGGCCCGGCUUCGGGAGGAACACCGUGUGUCCAUCCUCAUAGAUGGCGAGACUUCUGACAUCUAUGUCCUCCAGCUUUCCCCACAGGGCCCUCCCCCGGCCCCUCCCAAUGGGCUCUACCUGGCCCGGAAGGCUCUCAAGGGGCUGCUAAAAGAGGCCGAGAAAGAGCUGAAGAAAGCUCAGAGGCAGGGCGAGCUUAUGGGCUGCCUGGCUUUGGGGGGUGGUGGGGAG
Long non-coding RNA from Ailuropoda melanoleuca (giant panda), 1717 nucleotides. RefSeq lists it as uncharacterized. NCBI's taxonomy places the organism in Eukaryota, Metazoa, Chordata, Mammalia, Carnivora, Ursidae. The record is from RefSeq and is a predicted model, not a curated record. The transcript is spliced from 3 exons.